GACGAACGCUGGCGGCGUGCCUAAUACAUGCAAGUCGAACGCUUCUUUCCUCCCGAGUGCUUGCACUCAAUUGGAAAGAGGAGUGGCGGACGGGUGAGUAACACGUGGGUAACCUACCCAUCAGAGGGGGAUAACACUUGGAAACAGGUGCUAAUACCGCAUAACAGUUUAUGCCGCAUUGCAUAAGAGUGAAAGGCUCUUUCGGGUGUCGCUGAUGUAUGGUCCCGCGGUGCAUUAGCUAGUUGGUGAGGUAACGGCUCACCAAGGCCACGAUGCAUAGCCGACCGGAGAGGGUGAUCGGCCACACUGGGACUGAGACACGGCCCAGACUCCUACGGGAGGCAGCAGUAGGGAAUCUUCGGCAAUGGACGAAAGUAUGACCGAGCAACGCCGCGUGAGUGAAGAAGGUUUUCGGAUCGUAAAACUCUGUUGUUAGAGAAGAACAAGGACGUUAGUAACUGAACGUCCCCUGACGGUAUCUAACCAGAAAGCCACGGCUAACUACGUG
Molecule: ribosomal RNA, 508 nt
Filed under: uncultured bacterium
Lineage: Bacteria
Description: partial 16S ribosomal RNA
Rfam family: Bacterial small subunit ribosomal RNA
Source: RNAcentral